AUCUCAACACGACACUGAAUGGUGGGUAUCGACAAAAUUGCUGGGGAUUUGAUUCUUUACAAGGAUUGAGUCUUUUGUCUCAUCAACUGAUGAAAUUUUCACACACUUUUGCAGGUGAAAACGUGAUCCAAGCAAAAAACAUGCAUCACCAUCUGACAUUUUGUUGAAAUAUCUUUCAGUUUUCGACAUUCGUUUUGCUAACAUUAGUUACCUUGAGUUUCUAAUACCCCUUUCCCAUCUGAUUUAUUUAUUGCACUCCUCUUGGAUGCCUCCGAUACCCUGAUUUAUAGCUAACGUAUUCUAUCUAAAACCGUGA
This 316-nucleotide unclassified non-coding RNA is filed under the name Yarrowia lipolytica. Lineage: Eukaryota; Fungi; Ascomycota; Dipodascomycetes; Dipodascales. The record is from RNAcentral.